AUCCAACUCAAACACUACUCUCCAACUUUUUCAAGGUUCUUUACCUGCACCUAUAUUCAUCAUGUCUCCUUGCACCUGCAACUGCUGCUCCGGAGAGUGCAACUCCUGCUCUUGCGCUAGCUGCAAGGUAUGUUAUUGAUUGCA
RNAcentral lists this small RNA (144 nucleotides) under Penicillium griseofulvum. RNAcentral describes it as "A. fumigatus sRNA Afu_254". It matches the Rfam family "A. fumigatus sRNA Afu_254". Lineage: Eukaryota; Fungi; Ascomycota; Eurotiomycetes; Eurotiales; Aspergillaceae. The record is from Rfam by way of RNAcentral.